This 121-nucleotide small nucleolar RNA is filed under the name Echinops telfairi (small Madagascar hedgehog). RNAcentral's name for it is "Small nucleolar RNA SNORA61 (ENSETEG00000026568.1)". The record is from RNAcentral. Lineage: Eukaryota; Metazoa; Chordata; Mammalia; Afrosoricida; Tenrecidae.
UCCCUCCAGAUCCCUUACCCGUCAGAUCUAAAUGUUGGUCCGAGAGACUAAAAAGGGAGCAAAAGUCAAACUCAAGUGGACUUGGAGCUUGUCAUGGCAUACAAAUUCAUUUCAAACAUUA